GAUGAACGCUGGCGGCGUGCCUAAUACAUGCAAGUCGAGCGAACAGAUGAGGAGCUUGCUCCUCUGACGUUAGCGGCGGACGGGCGAGUAACACGUGGAUAACCUACCUAUAAGACUGGGAUAACUUCGGGAAAACGGAGCUAAUACUGGAUAAUAUAUUGAACCGCAUGGUUCAAUAGUGAAAGACGGUUUUGCUGUCUCUUAUAGAUGGUUCCGCGUCGCAUUAGCUAGUUGGUAAGGUAACGGCUUACCAAGGCUACGAUGCGUAGCCGACCUGAGAGGGUGAUCGGCCACACUGGAACUGAGACACGGUCCAGACUCCUACGGGAGGCAGCAGUAGGGAAUCUUCCGCAAUGGGCGAAAGCUUGACGGAGCAACGCCGCGUGAGUGAUGAAGGUCUUCGGAUCGUAAAACCCUUUUAUUGGGGAAGAACAAAUGUGUAAGUAACUAUGCACGUCUUGACGGUACCUAAUCAGAAAGCCACGGCUAACUUCGUG
RNAcentral lists this ribosomal RNA (497 nucleotides) under uncultured bacterium. RNAcentral's name for it is "partial 16S ribosomal RNA". It matches the Rfam family "Bacterial small subunit ribosomal RNA", at positions 28 to 507 of the family's 1533-position model. The record is from RNAcentral.